This 1400-nucleotide ribosomal RNA is filed under the name uncultured bacterium. RNAcentral's name for it is "partial 16S ribosomal RNA". It matches the Rfam family "Bacterial small subunit ribosomal RNA". The record is from RNAcentral.
AGAGUUUGAUCCUGGCUCAGGACGAACGCUGGCGGCGUGCCUAACACAUGCAAGUCGAACGGACGAGAGGGAGCUUGCUCCCUCAAGUUAGUGGCGGACGGGUGAGUAACGCGUGAGUAACCUGCCUUUCAGAGGGGAAUAACAUUCUGAAAAGGAUGCUAAUACCGCAUGACAUCGUAGUAUCGCAUGGUACAGCGAUCAAAGGAGCAAUCCGCUGAAAGAUGGACUCGCGUCCGAUUAGCUAGUUGGCGGGAUAAAGGCCCACCAAGGCGACGAUCGGUAGCCGGACUGAGAGGUUGAUCGGCCACAUUGGGACUGAGACACGGCCCAGACUCCUACGGGAGGCAGCAGUGGGGGAUAUUGCACAAUGGGGGAAACCCUGAUGCAGCAACGCCGCGUGAAGGAAGAAGUAAUUCGUUAUGUAAACUUCUGUCAUAGAGGAAGAACGGUGGAUAUAGGGAAUGAUAUCCAAGUGACGGUACUCUAUAAGAAAGCCACGGCUAACUACGUGCCAGCAGCCGCGGUAAUACGUAGGUGGCGAGCGUUAUCCGGAAUUAUUGGGCGUAAAGAGGGAGCAGGCGGCACUAAGGGUCUGUGGUGAAAGAUCGAAGCUUAACUUCGGUAAGCCAUGGAAACCGUAGAGCUAGAGUGUGUGAGAGGAUCGUGGAAUUCCAUGUGUAGCGGUGAAAUGCGUAGAUAUAUGGAGGAACACCAGUGGCGAAGGCGACGAUCUGGCGCAUAACUGACGCUCAGUCCCGAAAGCGUGGGGAGCAAAUAGGAUUAGAUACCCUAGUAGUCCACGCCGUAAACGAUGAAGUACUAGUGGUGGGUGGCAAAGCUCCGUGCCUCAAUUUAACCCAAUAAGUACUCCGCCCCUGAGUAUGUACUUUCGCAAGAUUUGUAAUUCCAUGGGUUUGAUUGGAGUCACUCACAGAGCGGUGGGUGCAUGUGGUUUAAUUUGAAAGCAAGGGGAAGAUCCUUCACAGGUCGUGACAUCGUUGUAAAGGCUCCAGAGAUGGAGAGAUAGUCUAUAGAGAAGACAGAUGGUGCAUGGUUUUCGUCAGCUCGUGUCGUGAGAUUUUGGGUUAAGUCCCGCAACGAGCGCAACCCUUGUUUUUAGUUGCUACGCAUGAGCACUCUAAUAGGACUGCCGUAGACAAAACGGAGGAAGGUGGGGACGACGUCAAAUCAUCAUGCCCCUUUUGAUCUGGGCUACACACGUAAUACAAUGGACAUUAACAGAGGGAAGCAAUACAGUGAUGUGGAGCAAACCCCUAAAAAUGUUCUCAGUUCGGAUUGCAGGACUGCAACCCGCCGGGAGGAAGAUGGAAUUGCUAGUAAUCGCAGAUCAGCAUGCUGCGGUGAAUACGUUCCCGGGCCUUGUACACACCGCCCGUCAA